Molecule: ribosomal RNA, 426 nt
Filed under: uncultured bacterium
Lineage: Bacteria
Description: bacterial SSU rRNA
Rfam family: Bacterial small subunit ribosomal RNA
Source: RNAcentral
UAGGGAAUUUUUCGCAAUGGGGGAAACCCUGACGAAGCAACGCCGCGUGGAGGAUGAAGGCCUUCGGGUCGUAAACUCCUGUCGAUCGGGACGAACGUGGUCGGGUCCAAUACACCCGGCUAUCGACUGUACCGGUAAAGGAAGCUCCGGCUACCUCUGUGCACGCCGCCGCGGUAAUACAGAGGGAGCAAGCGUUGUUCGGAAUUACUGGGCGUAAAGGGCGCGUAGGCGGUCCGAUAAGUCCCGUGUGAAAUCCCUCGGCUCAACUGAGGAAUGGCACGGGAAACUGACGGGCUUGAGUUCGGGAGAGGGAAGCGGAAUUCCGGGUGUAGCGGUGAAAUGCGUAGAUAUCCGGAGGAACACCGGUGGCGAAGGCGGCUUCCUGGACCGACACUGACGCUGAGGCGCGAAAGCUAGGGGAGCAAA